GAAAGUGGUGGAGACGAUAGAGAGCAGAGGGAUGAGAUUUCCCUCUUAACUGAAGAACUCAUCCAAUUAUCUGUCAAAGGAUUGAAGCCAGUUCCGAAUGAGAAACCAACCCUGAUUUGUACAAUAUGGACUAAGAAGUUUUAUAAUCAGGAAAGUUUUAGGGCACAGAUGAAGAGUUUGUGGAAAACAAAAAAGAAGUUUGAGAUUCAAGUAGCAGGACAGAACCUAUUUUUGAUAGCGUUCGAGAUGGAAGAGGAUUUGAAGUUGAUCAUGGAAGGAAGACCAUGGCUAUUUCGGAAGAGUCUAAUCCUAUUUGACAGGAUUACUCAAUUGGUGGAAAGGUCACAGAUUCGGCUCAAUUCCUCACCGGUCUGGCUAAAGGUAGGUCCACGUUUACCAAAAUUUGACAAAAAAAUUUUAUUACAUGCCAUAGGUGUCACUUUUGGAGGGAUAAUCAGAUCUGGAAUCAACGGAGAAUGGUGUCGCCUAAAAAUCAAUCUCGAUGUGCAAAAACCCCUUCGAAGAGGUAUUUUUGUCUCAGUGGAUAAUAGGAAUAAAUGGUGGAUUUCUUUUAAAUAUGAGAAAUUACCAACUUUUUGCUUUGGAUGUGGGAAGAUGGGGCAUGGACUCUCAGGUUGUAACUCACUGAAUCCUGCAGAAAAAAUGAAAAUUAAAGAUCCCCCAUACACGAUGGCACUAAGAGCAGAAUCAAACUUAGUUGGAAAAUAGAAUAUUAAAUUAAAUGUUUUUUCAAAGAUGGAUAGGGUUCAAUGUUCUUAUACAGGUGGUUCUGAGCUAGAAUUGAUUGAAAAUGAAAUAGUCGGAGAAGCAAAUAAUUGGGUGGGGAUGACGCACGGGGAACUACAAGUGAACGACAAAAAAGAGGAGAUGAAGAAGCAGAAGAAAGAAGAUACAGUUAUGAUUGAUGAACGGGUGGUUGAUAAUAGGUGAAGUCAGGAUAUUAAUUUAAAUUCAAUUAAGAAGACAAGUUGGUGAAGUGUUAAUCUAGUUCAAAUGUUGGCAAAGCAAAAGGAUGAAAAUUGUAACAAGAAGAGGAAAGCUACUGAAGGACUACUGGAGACUUGUUAUAUAGAAGCUGAAUAUGGAGACGGAACCAAAAGGCUGAAAAAAGACAGAGAAAAGGAACAAGGAGAAACGUUAUUAUAAAAAGAUGGGAAACCCUAUACAACAGAGUGAUGCUAAACUACUUAUGGGAUUGGCAGCUGCCAAGAGGCAAGCCGACCGAACGCAAUGAAAAUCAUUACUUGGAAUGUUCGUGGAUUGGGGAGUCCACAAAUAGUUAGAAGGCUGCGUUACUUUCUAAAGCAGCAAAAUCCCCAAAUGGUCUUCUUAAUGGAGACAAAAAUAAAUAAGCAAUCUAUGGAAAAAGUUAGAAGAAGCUAUGUUUUUCAGAAUGGAAUUGACGUUGAUGUAGAAGGUUCCCGAGGUGGCUUAUGCUUAGCAUGGAAAGAAGAUAUUACGGUUACUUUAAGGAGUUUUUCCAAGAAUCAUAUUGAUGCAAUGAUUAUGGAAGAAACUGAUAACGAAGAAUGGAGAUUUACAGGAUUUUAUGGCUCCUUGUAUGUCAAUUUCAAGAAUGAUUCCUAGAAUUUGCUACGAAAAUUGGGACAAGAUCAAAGACACCCGUUGCUUGUUAGUGGGGAUUUUAAUGAAAUUAUGUAUUCCUUUGAGAAAAAAAGAUUACCAAGAGAUGAAAGACGGAUGGAGGUUUUUAGAGAAACCCUUGAAGAAUGCCAAUUAGAAGAUUUAGGGUAUGCAGGGGCUUGGUUCACAUGGGAAAGGGGAAAUAUGCCAGAAACAAAUGUCAAAGAAAGAUUGGAUAGAGGAGUGGCUAAUGACAAGUGGAGGAAUCUCUUUCCGACGGUUAACAUUCAUCACCUGCCUCAUUCAAUGUCUGAUCAUUGUCCACUGCUUCUUAAUACAAAAAUUGAAAAUCGCAAUGUGGGAAGCCCAAGUUUUAAAUUUGAGGCAUGGUGGACCAUGGAAGAGUCUCUUGAAGGAGAAAUUAAAGCAUCUUGUGAAUCAUCCGUAGAUAAUUUACUGGAGAAACUGGAAAAACUACAAUUAGAUUUAAAAAAUGGGCAGGAGUAAUCAAAAAAGGGCGAGAAGGGUCGAAGAAAAGGCUCACAAAGAAACUGGAGAUACUGAUGGAGGAAGAAAGAAACGAUGACAUAAUGGCAGAAAUUAUUGAUACGAAGGUGCACCUAAACUUAAAAAUUGAUAAAGACGAAAGGUAUUGGGAACAAAGGGCAAGGGCGAAUUGGCUCAUAGUAGGGGACAAGAACACAACUUUUUUUUCAUAAGCACGCCACAUCUCGUCGAAAAAAACACAAUUUCAAGACUGGAAUUAGACAGAGGAGGGGAGGUGACAGAAGAAUGUAAGAUCAGUGAAGCAACUACACUAUUCUUUCAGGAGUUAUUUUCAUCAAAAGGAGUAGGUGAGUUAUCUCACCUCUUAACAGACAUUGAAGGAAAAAUUACGCCAGAUAUGAAUGAAGACUUAAUGGCAAAAUUUACGGAAGAAGAAGUGUAUUUUGCCUUGAAAGGAAUGGGGCCAACUAAAGCACUAGGACCUGAUGGAUUUCCAACACUCUUCUUUCAACAAUAUUGGCAUAUAAUAGGUAAAGAAGUUAUCACUUUCUGUCUGAAAAUUUUAAACAGUGACAAAAUUUUGGGCCCUUUCAAUUCUACUGAUAUUGUAUUGAUCCGAAAAACUCAGAAUCCCAAGAAUAUAGCAAAAUUCAGACCUAUUAGCUUAUGUACUAUUAUCUAUAAAAUUUUAGCUAAGUAAUAGUUAAUAGACUUCAAGGGUUUAUUGGGCGAUGUAUUGAUUUGGCGCAGAGUGCUUUCAUCCCAGGAAGGCUAAUUUCUGAUAACAUCCUACUUGCAUACGAGAUCUUACACACUCUUAAACGAAAACGUACAGGUAAGAAAGGUUUUAUGACAGUUAAACUUGAUAUGAGCAAAGCCUAUGAUAGGAUUGAGUGGAGGUUUCUUAAGGAAGUCAUGCUGCGCAUGGGUUUUACAAAAGAUUGCAGUCAAUAUUAAUGGAAAAGGGGACGAAUCUUUCAAUCUUCUAGAGGGCUACGAUAAGGUGACCCCCUUAGUCCAUUCUUAUUUCUACUAUGUAGCGAGGGGAUUUUAGCAUUAAUGAGAUUGGCAUUGAAAGAAGGCUGGAUAAAAGGAGUUAAGGCAAGCAGGAAAAGACCAGGGAUUUCACAUCUACUAUUUGCAAAUGAUUGUAUUCUAUUCGGAGAAGCAACUAAUAAGGGAGUGAGGGUGCUAAAAGAGAUUCUUAAGGAAUAUGAAGACUGUUCGGGUCAAUGUGUUAAUUUCAAAAAAUCUACGAUUUUCUUCAGUACGAAUACAUCAGUCGAUGACAGAGGUGAAGUAUCAGGAAGUUUAGGUAUAAGAGGGUCAACAAACAUGGAGAAGUAUUUAGGCCUUCUUAAUGUGGUUGGAAGACGAAAAAAAGGAGGUGUUCCAAUAUCUAAAAGAUAAAGUUAAUUCUAGAAUUAAACGUUUGAGCACCAGAUUGUUAUCACAAGGAGGCAAGGAAGUUUUCAUUAAAUCCAUAUUUCAGGCAAUUCUGACUUAUGCUAUGUUUUUCUUCUCCCUAACUCCCUAUGUGACGAAUUGGAAAAGACCUUCACUACUUUCUGGUGGCAAAAGAAGUAAGGAAAAAGAGGAAUUCACUGGUGUAAGUGGCAGAAUAUGUGUCGAGCUAAAGAAGAAGGAGGUAUAGGCUUCAGGAGCAUGGCAAAGUUUAAUAUCUCCUUAUUAGCUAAACAAGGCUAGAGAAUCCUAAAUAAUCCAAGUUCGUUAAUUGCAAGGGUGUUAAAGGCUAAAUAUUUUCCAGAAAUGGAUUUCCUAAAUUCGUAUCUUGGGAACAAUAGUUCUUUUGCAUGGAAGAGUAUAUGGGCAAUUAGAGGUAUUCUGUCAGACAAAAGCUAUUGGAAAGUGGGGAGGGGUACCGAAAUCUCGAUCAUUAAUGAUAGUUGGAUACCAGAUUAUUCUAGAUUAUCAUCUUACUUUACCAAUUAUUCCAGAUUAUCGCCUCACUUCACCAAUUUUUAUGAAUAUAAAGUUGUAGAUUUAAUUGAUGACAGAAACAGAAAAUGGAAAAAAGAAUUGAUCGAAGCUACCUUCCCUGCGGAGAUAUCUGAGAAAAUCUUCUGUAUCCCGUUAGCUAAAGAUCCCCACGAUGAUUUUCUGGUCUGGAGGGGAGAGUCUUCAAGAGAAUUCACAGUACAAAGUGCCUAUAAACUAUUACAGAGCUUUGAAAAUGAUCCUAGAGCUUAUGCUUUACAAAAUGAAUCUAGGAAUUUUUAUAGGAAUCUAUGGCUCCUAAAUCUACAUCCUAAGUUAAAAAUUAUAGUCUGGAAAAUAUCAUGGAACUAUAUUCCAACUCGGAUCAACUUGAACUACAGAAGGCUUUCAAACAACGUGACAUGCGUUGGGUGUGGCAGAGCAGCAGAAUCCACAAAUCAUAUAUUUCACGAAUGUCCUAUGGCAAGAACAGUAUGGGAAGAGUUAUUAU
This 4561-nucleotide long non-coding RNA is filed under the name Gossypium raimondii (Peruvian cotton). RNAcentral's name for it is "long non-coding RNA (GRAI_LNC010435)". The record is from RNAcentral. Lineage: Eukaryota; Viridiplantae; Streptophyta; Magnoliopsida; Malvales; Malvaceae.